UUAUAAAAAUACUAUUAUAAAAUAUAUAAAAUCCUAUUUAUCAUUCAUAUUUCACGGUUUUUACCAAAUUGAUGAAACGUUUCGUCAAAAUUCAACGAUGUAAAAGUAUUUCGCCUUUUAAUUUUUGUACAUGUAAAAAAUAAAAUAUUUCGCUGAAUUUGGACGAAAUAUUCCAAUGAGAAAAUUUGUCUAUAUCGAAAAUUGGAAAGUUUAAUAGAGCGAUUUGUACGAGGAGACACAUUAAUGAAUCACGGUGAUAGCCGCCUUAGUUUACUUCGGGUUCCUUGGUCGCCAUCAUUGUCUUUGUUAUUUGGGAAUCGAGUUUCCCGUGGUAAAUAAGAGUCAGCACUGCGGUUUGCAGCAUGACCUACGACAAGCUAGGAAAGUUGAAAUCGUUAUGUGAACCAUCUAACAGUGUCAAGAUUAAAUUAUGAAUGGUCGUGAUCUUCAUGACGACGAUGAUGAUUUGUCAAUGAGGCUCUCCUUUGCCAUUAAAGUUUUCGCAACGUGUCUCUAUUUAUAUCUGUUCACGGCCGAGCGAGGGAAUUCCAGACUGUAUACAAUAAUACCAAUAAAUUUAUUUCUGUGUCUUGUAACUACCAAUAUUUUAAACAUAAAUAAAUCGUACAUUAAUUUGUUCAUUCAAUAAUUCAUUCAUUCAAAAUGUCAGUGAUUUUCACAACUGGGAAUAAAAUAUAUUAUAUUCUAUUACCACAUUAAGUAAACAGAUAACAAUGAUAUUUAUUAGCGAAUAUAUUUAGCAAAGUUCAGUAUGUUUUACAAAUUCAAUUUGUCUCAGAUAAUGGUAAAUGUAUAGUUUUAUACAAUAUAAUAAUAUAUAUACAGCAACACAGUUACAGUUAUAGUUUAAUUUUGAAGUUUGUUUCUAGUAUUCUGAAAUACAUAAUGGAUAGGAUACCUGUCAGUUCACGAAGCAGGACAAACAUAAUUAAUUAACGUUUGUUAAUUUACCAACCACUGAAUACAAUUUAACGUAAUCCUGUAAUAAAAUCGAACAAUAAAUAAACGGUACAUUUAAAAAUUUAUAAUGUUAUUCUAUAUAUUUUAAUUUUUACUUUUAACAUUUACUAAUUGAUCUAAAUGACAUUUAAUUUAAUGACAAAAUAAAUAUAUUUUUAAAAUGUUGUACAAAAUUUGUAAGUUUGUAAAAUAAAACUAUGGCUCACUACACGUUUUGGGAAACUGUAAGUGUGGUGAGUAAUUUUCAAAUAAAUAAAUAAAUAAAUGAUUACCUAGUAUUAUCUAAUGUCUGAAAAAUGGUAUAAUUGUUAAUAUUUGACAUAUUGUAUAUAUUUCAAUAACUUAUCU
This is a long non-coding RNA of Galleria mellonella (greater wax moth), 1329 nucleotides long. RefSeq lists it as uncharacterized. Lineage: Eukaryota; Metazoa; Arthropoda; Insecta; Lepidoptera; Pyralidae. The transcript is spliced from 4 exons. The record is from RefSeq and is a predicted model, not a curated record.